This 253-nucleotide ribosomal RNA is filed under the name uncultured bacterium. RNAcentral describes it as "partial 16S ribosomal RNA". It matches the Rfam family "Bacterial small subunit ribosomal RNA", at positions 524 to 776 of the family's 1533-position model. The record is from RNAcentral.
UACGAAGGGGGCGAGCGUUGUUCGGAAUUACUGGGCGUAAAGGGCGCGUAGGCGGCCGAUCAAGUCAGAUGUGAAAGUCCUGGGCUUAACCUGGGGACUGCAUUUGAUACUGAUUGGCUUGAAUUCGGGAGAGGAUAGCGGAAUUCCCAGUGUAGAGGUGAAAUUCGUAGAUAUUGGGAAGAACACCGGUGGCGAAGGCGGCAUCCUGGACCGGUAUUGACGCUGAGGCGCGAAAGCCAGGGGAGCAAACGGG